ACCUACUGGACGAAAACUGGACAGAAAUGCGGGUGACUAUGCCUCGUCUCCUACUAGAUCCAACCCGAACUCUAGCAGACUGGGCAAUUUAAAACGAAGGGCCCAGGGGAAAACAUUUAAUAACGUUAGAGUGAGUGGACAAAAAUAAAAUAAUAAAUAAAAUAUUUAUGUUUCCCCAAAUUAAUUUCUAAGGAAAAAUCGAAUGCAUGCCGCAAGCGAUAAAACUUUUAUCCCAUAAAAUAUCGAGCCUCUCAGACUCUAUAAUAUAUGUAUGUAUUUACACUCGUCCAUACUCCCUAUAUAAAUUCAUGGGUCUAUAUAGGGCUACUAGGCUCGCGUCCAACGCUCACGUCACGCCUUAAUGCGGUGCUACACUACGCCAUCAAGGUGGACAGACGGGUGUAUAAAUAUGUGUCCAUACCCCCUAUAUGAAUUAAACACUCAAAUAGGGCUACUACGCUUACGUCUAACGCUCACGUCACACUAUAAUGCGGCUAUAUGCUACGCCAUUAAGGUGGACAGACACAUAUGGCUAGCUAGCAUUUUCUAUACAUACUCUCUCAUAUAUACAUAUUUAUAUUCACCGAAAAUCCCAUUUUCGGUAACUUUCUCCAAGAGAAAUAAAAAUCGUCAAAAUACUCCACGACAUUAAUUAUUCAAUCGUGAACUUUAGCAUGCAUUUAUUUAAAAUAAAAGUCCACUCACAAAUUAGGCCUAAGCCUGAUGUCGAUCUGGGGUCUCGUCUGCUCGAGCCUCCUCACGUCUUGUUCCAAAUAUAAUAUUAAUUCCCAACCAAAUAAUCCAAUAUUUAAUCAAAAUAGGCAAAAAUUACCCGAGAGCCAUAAUUACGCUCAUUAUUGCCUAACUUCGAUAUUCUUACAUCGGAACGAUCCGAACUUAAAUAUCAUACUCAACAGUCGUAAAAACAACCUCUCCAAAAUACGACUUAAAUCCUACGGCCGGAUUCUACAUUAAUUACCCGCCAAAAAUACCACACUUCGGAAAUUCACAAACCUAUCCAAAUCUCAUC
Molecule: long non-coding RNA, 1030 nt
Filed under: Fragaria vesca (wild strawberry)
Lineage: Eukaryota; Viridiplantae; Streptophyta; Magnoliopsida; Rosales; Rosaceae
Description: long non-coding RNA (FVES_LNC004743)
Source: RNAcentral